CCUUUUCCUAGAAAAACAGCCAGGCAAAAUCUGGCAACCAGGUCUUCAGGAGCUGUGUGCACCCUCUGGCCUGUGCUACAGGAUCAGAUAGAGAUGUCUCCUAUCCCUUGGUUAAGGUAAGCUCCCUGGGAAGGAACAGCAUGUGCUGAUCCUUAACUGUGAAUUGGACAAUAGCUCAAAGAAAUAAAUUUACCCUAGGAAGUGAAUCAGCAAGACAAGACAUGUCCCCAGAAAGCCCAUCUCCGGGAUGGCUUUGAUGCUGGCAGAGCAGCAGUCUGCUCAGAGAGCAGGUGAAGGCCAUCAGCUGGGGGCUGCACUCACUCUUCCUUAACACCUGGGAGAGUCAUCCCCCAAAGGGAGCUUUUCCACUUGCCACAGCCUUGCUUAGCUCAAUGGGAAUCGCUGAGAUCAGGUUGAAAUCUAUGAGGAGAGAGGCUGUUUUCCAGGCUGUUUGGAGAGCACACAAUGCAUGACCACUUUUCCAUGAAGCCAGGCUUGAGGAGCUUUUGAAACUGUGACCACAACAGACUGUUUGAACUGUGGUGUGAGAGAGACUGAAAAAUUCCCCAGGCAACUAUGAGGAGGUACUAACCCCAGAGUUGACAAGGAAAGCUUUUUAAGCACGAUGAAAUUCAGCACGGGCGCUGCACCCAGCAGAGGAAACUCCAGCCAUCUGGAGACGAGGAUGACCAGCGGCCACAGCAGUCUGUAAAAUUGCAAGAGCUGCCAAAAUUAAACUGUGAAGUCAGGCGGGAAGGCAACCAAUGACCAGCGAGAUCAGAAGUUCAGAGAAGCCCCAGAUGAGCUCUCAACAACAAGUGUGACCAGCGUACACCAAAGUUUAUUAAGGAUGUUGAGAGGAGGGGAAAAUAUCUGUGCAGAAGAUGCCCAGCUGGCGAGGAGGGAGUGGUGGUGAUGCUCGGGUAACUGGAGGAAUCCCAUUGGCCAAGUCCCCGGCAGAUCCCACCCAUCCGCAAGUGUAAAAUAAAUCUCUAAAGUUGUACCUCGUGUACCA
This 1015-nucleotide long non-coding RNA is filed under the name Cyanistes caeruleus (blue tit). RNAcentral describes it as "lncRNA (ENSCCEG00000014448.1)". The record is from RNAcentral. Lineage: Eukaryota; Metazoa; Chordata; Aves; Passeriformes; Paridae.